UGACGCGGCUGAAUGCGGAAAGAACAGAACGGGAGAUUCCGUGUGAGAGCAGAAAGUCAAGAUGUGCUGGAAGCGGUUUGACAGCUGCAGAUCCGGGUCUGAUGGAAGCGGGAGUAGCCGUGGCGUCUCCCUUUCUCUCCCACCUUCCUCCAGUACCGCUCCGCUGGAUGAGGGGGUAGAGCAGGCAGCCUGUGGCGGGUGUGAAGGCCUGAUCGACUUGUUCAGCUGGGCUAGAAUGGAUCCUUCCCCACGCCACUAUAGCUGAGGAGCCCAGCCUGAUGGAGGCGUGGUGCUUGGCCUGGUCGUUCAGGAUGGUGGUCUCAAACGCCUCCUGUAAUCGGGUAGUUUACUUUAGUGAGGCUAGGCCUUCCUGGAGCUCCUAGUGAAGCUGAAUCAUACAACCUUUUAAGCCACUGUCACGAAUUCAGCCGAGGCUGCUCCUCCUCCUUGCUCGGGCAGGCUUUGGCGUUCGUCGUCACCGGAGUACUAGCUGCCACCGAUCUAUGUUUCUGUGUUCUACUUGUUUUGUCUAUAUUGCACACACCUGGUUCCAAUUACGAUAAUUGUCCCUAUUUUACCCUCUGGUUCCCUCAUGGUGUUGUGCGUGAUUGUUCGUUGUUUUGUUGUCAUUGACAUGUGAGUCGGUAUUAUCUUCCCUGCAUGGAAGAUAUGUUUAUUUACUUUUGACAAGUAAAGUACGUCGUUGACUAAA
Long non-coding RNA from Coregonus clupeaformis (lake whitefish), 712 nucleotides. RefSeq lists it as uncharacterized. The record is from RefSeq and is a predicted model, not a curated record. NCBI's taxonomy places the organism in Eukaryota, Metazoa, Chordata, Actinopteri, Salmoniformes, Salmonidae. The transcript has 2 exons.